CCUACGGGAGGCAGCAGUGGGGAAUAUUGCACAAUGGGGGAAACCCUGAUGCAGCAACGCCGCGUGAGUGAAGAAGUAUUUCGGUAUGUAAAGCUCUAUCAGCAGGGAAGAAGAAAGACGGUACCUGACUAAGAAGCCCCGGCUAACUACGUGCCAGCAGCCGCGGUAAUACGUAGGGGGCAAGCGUUAUCCGGAUUUACUGGGUGUAAAGGGAGCGUAGACGGCUGUGCAAGUCUGAAGUGAAAGCCCGUGGCUCAACCGCGGAACUGCGUUGGAAACUGCAUAGCUGGAGUACUGGGGAGGCAGGCGGAAUUCCUAGUGUAGCGGUGAAAUGCGUAGAUAUUAGGAGGAACACCAGUGGCGAAGGCGGCCUGCUGGACAGAAACUGACGUUGAGGCUCGAAAGCGUGGGGAGCAAACAGGAUUAGAUACCCCUGUAGUC
RNAcentral lists this ribosomal RNA (441 nucleotides) under uncultured bacterium. RNAcentral describes it as "partial 16S ribosomal RNA". It matches the Rfam family "Bacterial small subunit ribosomal RNA", at positions 338 to 795 of the family's 1533-position model. The record is from RNAcentral.